This 261-nucleotide long non-coding RNA is filed under the name Elaeis guineensis (African oil palm). RNAcentral describes it as "long non-coding RNA (EGUI_LNC007586)". The record is from RNAcentral. Lineage: Eukaryota; Viridiplantae; Streptophyta; Magnoliopsida; Arecales; Arecaceae.
GACCUAUAGAUAAUAUAAGAUUCUUAAUUAUGGGUGUCUUAAUUCUUAAUUAUGCAGGUUUUACAUGAGACCAUAUAGGUCUGUGAACUCACUUGAGAGAUUAUAUAUAUAUAGUAUAUGUGUGCGCGCGUGGCUGUAGAGAACUACACAGAUUUAUCCUUAAUGAUGAUUUGCAGGGCACUGGGCUAGAAUGUCUUAAUAAUAGAAAGCUAAUCCAUAAUAAGAGUUUCUCUUUUUUUUUCUUUUUUUUUUUUCUUUUUU